RNAcentral lists this ribosomal RNA (486 nucleotides) under uncultured bacterium. Its description in RNAcentral is "partial 16S ribosomal RNA". It matches the Rfam family "Bacterial small subunit ribosomal RNA", at positions 30 to 507 of the family's 1533-position model. The record is from RNAcentral.
AUUGAACGCUGGCGGCAUGCCUUACACAUGCAAGUCGAACGGCAGCACGGGUGCUUGCACCUGGUGGCGAGUGGCGAACGGGUGAGUAAUACAUCGGAACAUGUCCUGUAGUGGGGGAUAGCCCGGCGAAAGCCGGAUUAAUACCGCAUACGAUCUACGGAUGAAAGCGGGGGACCUUCGGGGCUCGCGCGAUAGGGUUGGCCGAUGGCUGAUUAGCUAGUUGGUGGGGUAAAGGCCUACCAAGGCGACGAUCAGUAGCUGGUCUGAGAGGACGACCAGCCACACUGGGACUGAGACACGGCCCAGACUCCUACGGGAGGCAGCAGUGGGGAAUUUUGGACAAUGGGCGAAAGCCUGAUCCAGCAAUGCCGCGUGUGUGAAGAAGGCCUUCGGGUUGUAAAGCACUUUUGUCCGGAAAGAAAUCCUUGGCCCUAAUACGGUCGGGGGAUGACGUUACCGGAAGAAUAAGCACCGGCUAACUACGUG